AGGCCUGGGCCAGAAUACUUUACAUAACAAAGAUCUCCAGGUAAAGUUAUAGCAAUUGCCAAAAGCCCGUUUCAGUGCAUCAUCCAGCAAAGCUCAACCAAGUCUGGAACUCAGGAAAGCCUACAGAGUUGCCCCUGCAUGGCCCCAUGGGAGUCUGACAAACAAUCAGAAUAUAAGCUUCAAUUCAAAUCCCAACAAAGGGCAUUCUCCAUUUAAA
Notechis scutatus (mainland tiger snake) is the source of this 217-nucleotide non-coding RNA. NCBI's taxonomy places the organism in Eukaryota, Metazoa, Chordata, Lepidosauria, Squamata, Elapidae. The record is from RefSeq and is a predicted model, not a curated record.